Molecule: long non-coding RNA, 498 nt
Filed under: Coturnix japonica (Japanese quail)
Lineage: Eukaryota; Metazoa; Chordata; Aves; Galliformes; Phasianidae
Description: lncRNA (ENSCJPG00005020182.1)
Source: RNAcentral
UCUUUCUCAUUGGCUUCCAAGGUGCACACGUAAAUAAUCACAUUUCUUGCUUUUAGAACCAGAAUAUUCUUUUAAAACCCCAAAGAAGCAAUAUGCAACUUAAAUUAGAGAAUUAUGUUCACUCACAAAUUAUGCUUUAAAGAGACUUUGUGUCUUGCAAUGCAUCUUACUCAGAGGGAACUUCCAUGUUCAUGGAUUCCAGCUGUGCAAGCUAUAAACAUUUUAUGCUGUAACUUUUACAGACUGAGGAGUUACUCUGCAUUUAGAUUUGGUCCAAAGGAGCUGCAUCUAAAGGGCAAGUUCUUGCACCUAUCCAACUCUUUGUCCCCAGUGACAAAUAAAGGACCACCAGGAGAACAGUCUGAAACUUCUGACCAACAGAUGGAAAAAUGUACAAACUCUUCUUCUUCCAGUCAAGAUGCCAAUGAAAGAAGCAGAAUAAGAAAGCCUGACUUUCCCAGUGCCUCCAGAUGUAAAAUCUUCCCACCAGGUGCUUGA